GGAAGUUAAAAAAACUGUUUUUUUAACUUUUAACUAAAAAAACUAAGAACCGAUUCUUAAAUAAGGAUUUUAAGAACCGGUUCUUAGUUUUUUAGUUAAAAGUUAAAAAACAGUUUUUUAACUUCC
Brassica oleracea var. oleracea is the source of this 126-nucleotide microRNA precursor. It matches the Rfam family "MIR9563 microRNA precursor family". NCBI's taxonomy places the organism in Eukaryota, Viridiplantae, Streptophyta, Magnoliopsida, Brassicales, Brassicaceae. The record is from Rfam.